AGUCCACUAAAUUUCACUAAUGGUUAGUAAAAUGUUAUGUGUUGAGACUUUAUGAACAAAUUACAUGCAUUUUUGCAUGUAAUUUGGUUAUAAAUAAGCGACACAGUACUCAGAGAGUAUAUUUUCACAAUAUUUCUUGUACUUGGAGUCAUUCACAAAAUACUUUAUUUUUAUUGGUAAAAUCACUUACGUUGGUGGGUGGAAAGCAUGUUGAAGAUCAUGCGGUUCAUGGAUUCAAAAGGAGACGUUAAAUUUUAAACGCAAUUUUAGAAACUCUUUUCUUUAUUUGAAAACAUUUAGUGUAACAUCGGACAUUUUUAGUUGUUUCUCUCAACCUAAUUGCCAAACUUCAUUAAGUUUUCAAAAUUUUGGUGUUAUUUUUAUUGUAGUUUUCAAAAUUUUGGUGUUAAACCCCAUCAUUUUACAUGUAGUUCCCCAUCCCUAUUCUCCUUCACUCUUCCUCUUGCUCGUGCCCUACUGCCGCCGCCCUCUAUAGCUACCUUCCUUUCGCAGUCUACGUCAACUGGUCACGACGUCAGUAGCCCUCAUUGUCGACCGUCUCUAUCUCCUAUUGAAGCCGAAGCCCAGCCAAAGUGUUCGUCAUUGGUCUGCAUCGUCUCUAUGUUUGUGAAGCUGCCAUCACAUCUUCCUACUUUGUUGAUCGCUCGAGCCACUCCGUCCCAAGUCGCCCACCUCACAUGCUACUCGCGUUCCAUCGUUAGCUAAGCCGCCACAUACCCAUCUACUUCCCUCGCGUCUGACAACCGCUCAUCAUGGAGUGCCAUUACCGCAUUAUUUAUCCAACGAUCGUGAAGCACCGUUGUCGGUUCUCUGUCGUGAAUGCAAUCCUGACCCGAGCUAAAGACAUCAGAUCCAAACCGCGUGAUUUCUCCUUUCCCAGUUGCUGUGUUGCAAGUUGAUCCACGCUCUCUUAGUUCAUGUGUUGUUGCCUCUGCCUUGUUAUAGGUUCGCUUGGUAAGGUGAUAUUGGUGAAUUGGUGCUAAAAUCCUUGAGUUUCACGGUAAGCUUCGUUGGAAGUCGAUUCUCCAUUACUUGGGUAAGUGUCAAAUUCACAUUUGGGUAAAUUAGGUAGAUAAAAUUAUUUGAAAAAAAUGUUGAUUUUCUAUGUACUUAUGUUUAAGAUUUGGCUUGUUGGAGUUAGUUUGAUUAAGUAACUUGCAUAAAAAUUUAGGUAAGGGGUUCCUACUACUUGACUCUAUAAUGAAUUUGGAACGUAUUGAUUGCAUGGAUUUUACUAAACUGGGAUGAGUUGACUUGACUGAUAUGUAGAUUUAAAUGUGAUGACUGAUUGGUUGUAUGGAUUUUACUGAACUGAGUGGGUGGGUUGACUGAUAUGUAGAUUUAAAUGUGAAGAUUCAUGACUAGUAUGGUCGACUAAACUAUGAUGCACUAGUGUUUAUUUUGACAGGCCAUGUGUAGAAAAGGAGAAAUGCCGAAAAGGAGAAAUGCCGAUAGUUUUUAAUUGUGUUUUGAUGUGAUUGUUAUGAACUAUGUGAAUCGAAUUGGGAAUUUUUUUUAGCUUUAUCUAUGGGGUAGUGUACCUUGCAGGUGUCCUAGGGAUCACCACCUGUUGUGCAUCAUUCGGAAACACUAGACUGAUAGGUUCAUCAUUCGGUAGCACUAGACUAAUAUAGGUGCAUCCUUCGAGAAUACUAGAUUGAUAUGUGCAUCUUACGGAGCACUAGAUUGAUAUGUGCAUCCUUCGAGAUCUGUGAUGCAGGGUACCUCCCGAUAGGAAGUUAACCGUUUUUACCCCUAAUGGGACCAGUAGUGGGUCCCUUACUGGGUAUAUUUUAUAUUCACCCUUUAUGUUUAGCUUUUUUAGGCAAAGGUAAUACGAGAAACAGACGGGCGAGGGACAAGAAGGACUCGUGACCGCCAUAUGAGAUCCUAGCUUUUUCUUUAAAUUUGCUUUCGCUUAAGGUCUUCAAUUUUUUUUUGUUGAUUAAACUGAGUUUAUGGUUAGUGACUUUGUAAACUGUGCCUUUGAAAUUUUAUUUUGUUUGAAAUA
This is a long non-coding RNA of Cucumis sativus (cucumber), 2032 nucleotides long. RefSeq lists it as uncharacterized. The transcript is spliced from 2 exons. NCBI's taxonomy places the organism in Eukaryota, Viridiplantae, Streptophyta, Magnoliopsida, Cucurbitales, Cucurbitaceae. The record is from RefSeq and is a predicted model, not a curated record.